CUGAGGUCAUCGUAAGAUGUCCUGAUCGCCAUACAGAAGUCAGCAGACGGCAUAGUAGCUGGCGAAGUCAGUGAAGGCC
Endozoicomonas montiporae is the source of this 79-nucleotide non-coding RNA. Lineage: Bacteria; Pseudomonadati; Pseudomonadota; Gammaproteobacteria; Oceanospirillales; Endozoicomonadaceae. The record is from Rfam.